UCCGUCCAUGAGCACACAGUAUGUAGACAGCAAGUAUGUAGAAAUGACCGAGAUAUAACCCCUUUUUCACAGAAGCAGGGAAAGACCUACUAUACUGUGUGAUAAAUGUCAGGAUAGAAGGAAGAAUGGGAGCUCUGGGAGCAUGUACCAUACAGAGUGACAUCUGGGUAGGCUGCUCAGAGUAAAGCAGCUCUGGUUUGAGCUUUGAAGGUCGAGGAAGAGUUAACCAGAGGAUGUAGUAGAAGUUUGUAGAGGCCCUGUGUUAGGACAUGGAAAAAUCCUUAAGGACUAUGCCCCGUACCAAAGUAACAAGCUAAUCUUCCGGCUACUCCCCAGCCACCAAGCUGCACGGCACAGCAGCCCCAUUCCCUUCCAUCCUCUCCCACCCCAUACUCCUCUGCACCAAGAUAUGGACUUCUGGGGAGUGAAACUUGGAAAAUUACAUCACAGGAUUAAGAGAAACUGAAGCACGAUGGUAUAGCUCAUCAGGUGCCUUCUAGAGCACAGAGCAUGCAAUCUGAGAUCGCACGGCCUGAGUGGCCCUGGAACCCAGAGCACUGCUGGUGGAGAAGGUCACACGUCAGGUCUGCUGGGUGCCCAAGGGGGCGACGAGAGGGGCCUUGUUCUAAGCAUCUAUAAAGAUAAGGACAAAGAUAAGGAUAAUAGCUCUGACCAAAAGCAAACUGGUGAACAAGUAUCUGGAGCCUGAUCCUGAGCUCACAGAGAAAAGGACUACCUUGGAGUAGUUGUACUCUGAGACUCUGUGUUCCAUGUCCUAGCACAGAUGCAUUCUCCAUUCUUAGUCCCAUUAGGUCCUGGGCCCACUCUUGCAUGGAAGGAGGUGUGGCCUCUUUGUUCUUUCUCCUUCCUCAUCCACAUCCUCAUGUAUCCUCUUCUGCUGUGCUUCUGGUAGCCACUUGGUGUGAGGCAAGAUACUGAGGUUCAAGUUUGGGCUCAGUGAGGAGCAAAGGGACUCCAAAAACCUCAGCUUACUGGUACUUUUCACAUAUACAACAUGACCCUGGACUUAUUUAUAGACACGUCAGGGGCCACAAAGGAGAGAAGAGUGAUUGGCAGGGCAGAGUCUGCACGUAUAAGGUAUCCCUCCCAAAUACCAUUUGAGCAUGUCCAAAUCAAGUGGACAGGUCUUCCCCUGGCUGAGACUGGAGCAAUCCUAGCACUAAAAAGUUAAGUACAGUUAUGAAUUAUGAACCUCUAAAAAUUAGGAAGUGGUACAACCAUUUAGAUAAUAAAUGGAUUUUUUUUCA
This is a long non-coding RNA of Lutra lutra (Eurasian river otter), 1268 nucleotides long. RefSeq lists it as uncharacterized. The transcript has 4 exons. Lineage: Eukaryota; Metazoa; Chordata; Mammalia; Carnivora; Mustelidae. The record is from RefSeq and is a predicted model, not a curated record.